RNAcentral lists this long non-coding RNA (1790 nucleotides) under Homo sapiens (human). Its description in RNAcentral is "HSALNT0273061". Lineage: Eukaryota; Metazoa; Chordata; Mammalia; Primates; Hominidae. The record is from RNAcentral.
AGAAUAUCCCAGAGGGGACCCAAGUAGAAAGCCACCUGUUUCAAACAGUCAGGUCUAUGUUAUACUGUGGCAUGGCCAAUGGCACCAGGGCUGGCUGGCUGCUGAGGACAACUCAUGGAGUGGAAUGUGACCAGACAAUGUCAGCACGCAUCAAAGGUAGCAGCCCACUGGGGAAUGGCAUCUGACACUCCUGGUCCUGAGACUGCAGGAGGGAGAGACCCACAGCCAAUGGGACACCCAAUGGGAGUCCUGCUCUCCCCAGAGGAAAUAAUUAGCCCUGAAUUGCCCCAUUACUUGAUAUCUAUCUCCAAGGUCAAUGUGAAUGAAUAGGUCUCUUUGCUUGAUUUCUUCCCCUAGAGCAAAUGUUUCAAUGAUCUCCACACUCCUCCUUAAUUCAGAGUCCAUUGUCCAGCACAUUUGAGCCCCUCCAUGAAAACAAGCUCCUAGGUGAGUAUAAUGUAAAUAAAACCAUUGCCAUCCAAAACGGUGUUUCUUGUUCAACCCUGCUUGCAAAAGCUUACUCAACCGGCAGAGACAAAAAGCAGUGCUUUUCGAAGUAUGAAAACUACCCAUUAUCCCAUUAGAGAGAUGCCGGUUACAGAGAUGCCGGUGGAAAUCGGAAGCUUCUGGCUUCAGGCAGAACUAGUGAGUUUGAAGCUCACUUUUUAAAUGAAAAAAGUAAUGCUCUUUUCUUCUUUGGGACUCACAACAGCUAGUUCAUAGUGUGAAGCCACAAAACUAGACCUUUUAAAAAUGAUCUUGUCCUAAGACUAGGAGGUUGGAAGAGACGAGAAGGUUUUCAUUUAAAGAAUGAGAGUUUUUUCUGGCCCUUUGGCCAAACUGAAUCCCAUCCACUUGUCCAAUCCAAGAUCCUCUUCCUGGAUUCACUAUCUCCAGAUGGGAACUUGCUAGAUUUCAUUCAUUAAAACCAAGGCUCCCCACUUGCAGGCACAAGUUCCCAUCUGCUGCCACAUCUUUGCAGUAUCAGCUCAGCCUUUCCUCUUCUGGCACGAGUUCACAGGCUCCUGUAGAACCAGAGGUACUAAUACUCCAGGAGCACUGGGAUCUGCUCAUUUUCAUUGUGACGCAGCAGUAUUUCAGCCAAGUUUGGAAUUAAAUAUGCCUUUAUGUGCUGGCAUAAAAAGCUAUCUACCAUUCCUAGGAAAACAGCUUCUAUUCCAAACAGCUGACUUCCAAAGUCCAGAACAUAAUCUAUUUGUAAGCUGCGUGGCUGCCUACACAGUUCCAGCCCCUUUUCUCUCACCUCCCAGCUAAUCAAGUAAUCUUUUGUUUCCUGAGCCCAUUCUGUGGAGAGGAGUGUAAAUCAAUCAACAGCGAAGGCCUCCAAAGCCUGCAAGCCAGGAUGAGCAGGAACAGGCCAAGGGCAAUGGUUCUCAAACUUCAGCCAGCAUCAGAGUCGCCUGGAAGAUCUAUCGCAACAGACUGCCAAAGAUCUGGGGUGCAACUCAAGAACUGGCAUUUCUAACCUUCCUCCUAGUGGAAAAUUUGCCUUCAGAAAAAGAUGGCCCAAUCCAGGGAAGAGCCACUGGCCUAGAGUAUAUGGGACAGAGGUACAGGGAGGUAACUAGAUGUUCAGAAUCCUCAGCAGCCAGCCACAUAACCUAACUGGUCCAAAACCCACCCUCCCCUGGGAUGGAUCAUGAAGGAGUAAACAGCCCUCCUUGGUCUCUUCUGCCUUAAUCUGCAGGCAGAGAUUACACCCUACCAUGAGAUGAACAAUUGCCUUGGAAUAGGUCAGCAUCAUGUGCCAUUUUAUAAUUAUAUCUACA